GUAGCUUCGCCAGCACAUAUACUGGAAUUGGAACAAUAAAGAGAUUAGCGUGGCCCCAUUGCAAGGAUGACACUCAAAUCUGAAAUGCUCCAUAUUUUU
This 99-nucleotide small nuclear RNA is filed under the name Octodon degus (degu). The record is from RNAcentral. Lineage: Eukaryota; Metazoa; Chordata; Mammalia; Rodentia; Octodontidae.